GAUGAAGAACGUAGCGAAAUGCGAUAAGUAAUGUGAAUUGCAGAAUUCAGUGAAUCAUCGAAUCUUUGAACGCACAUUGCGCCCGCCAGUAUUCUGGCGGGCAUGCCUGUUCGAGCGUCAUUUCAACCAUCAAGCCCCCGGCUUGUGUUGGGGACCUGCGGCUGCCGCAGGCCCUGAAAACCAGUGGCGGGCUCGCUAGUCACUCCGAGCGUAGUAAUACAUCUCGCUCAGGGCGUGCUGCGGGUUCCGGCCGUUAAAAAGCCUUAUUUACCCAAGGUUGACCUCGGAUCAGGUAGGAAGACCCGCUGAACUUAAGCAUAACAAUAAGCGGAGGA
Molecule: unclassified non-coding RNA, 335 nt
Filed under: soil metagenome
Description: partial contains 5.8S ribosomal RNA, internal transcribed spacer 2, and large subunit ribosomal RNA
Rfam family: 5.8S ribosomal RNA (bases 1-120)
Source: RNAcentral